AGUGGAUGGGGAGCAACCUAGUUGUGCGUGUGUAAAGGUAGUGCCAAGAAAAGCGAUGAUCAUGUUGAAAAUCAAUUCCCGGUACCCGAAACCGACACAGGUGGGCAAGUAGAGAAUACUAAGGGGCGCGAGGUAACUCUCUCCAAGGAACUCGGCAAAAUGACCCCGUAACUUAGGGAGAAGGGGUGCCACCGAGAGGUGGUCGCAGUGAAGAGGCCCAGGCGACUGUUUAGCAAAAACAUAGGUCUCUGCAAACUCGAAAGAGGAGGUAUAGGGGCUGACGCCUGCCCAGUGCCGGAAGGUUAAAGAAGUUGGUCAGUUUUAGGAUGAAGCUAGCGACUGAAGCCCCGGUGAACGGCGGCCGUAACUAUAACGGUCCUAAGGUAGCGAAAUUCCUUGUCGGGUAAGUUCCGACCCGCACGAAAGGCGUAACGAUCUGGGCGCUGUCUCGGAGAGAGGCUCGACGAAAUAGGAUUGUCUGUGAAGAUACGGACUACCUGCAUUUGGACAGAAAGACCCUAUGAAGCUUUACUAUAGCUUGGAAUUGUGUUCGGGCUUCCUGUGCGCAGGAUAGGUGGGAGGCGUAGAAGGUAUUCUUGUGGGGAUACUGGAGCCAACGGUGAGAUACCACUCUCAGGAGGCUAGAAUUCUAACUUAAUUAAGGACAGUUUCAGGUGGGUAGUUUGACUGGGGCGGUCGCCUCCAAAAGGUAACGGAGGCGUACAAAGGUUCCCUCAGACUGGUUGGAAAUCAGUCGGAGAGUGCAAAGGCAGAAGGGAGCUUGACUGCGAGAAGUACAGUUCGAGCAGGGUGGAAACACGGUCUUAGUGAUCCGACGGUGCUGUGUGGAAGGGCCGUCGCUCAACGGAUAAAAGUUACUCUAAGGAUAACAGGCUGAUCUCCCCCAAGAGUUCACAUCGACGGGGAGGUUUGGCACCUCGAUGUCGGCUCAUCGCAACCUGGGGCGGAAGUACGUCCCAAGGGUUGGGCUGUUCGCCCAUUAAAGCGGUACGUGAGCUGGGUUCAGAACGUCGUGAGACAGUUCGGUCCAUAUCCGAUGUAGGCGUGAGAAUAUUGAGAGGAGCCUUCCUUAGUACGAGAGGACCGGGAAGGACGCACCGCUGGUGUACCUGUUAUGAUGCCAAUUGUAAACGCAGGGUAGCCAAGUGCGGAGAGGAUAACCGCUGAAAGCAUCUAAGUGGGAAGCCCACCUCAAGAUGAGUAUUCUGGUGUAAGGUCACGGGAAGACGACCCGUAAAUAGGCACGAGGUGGAAGUGCAGAGAUGUAUGAAGCCGAAGUGUACUAAUAGACCGUCGGCUUGACC
RNAcentral lists this ribosomal RNA (1325 nucleotides) under metagenome. Its description in RNAcentral is "bacterial LSU rRNA". It matches the Rfam family "Bacterial large subunit ribosomal RNA", at positions 1561 to 2925 of the family's 2925-position model. The record is from RNAcentral.